Molecule: ribosomal RNA, 482 nt
Filed under: Actinomyces sp. 'ARUP UnID 86'
Lineage: Bacteria; Bacillati; Actinomycetota; Actinomycetes; Actinomycetales; Actinomycetaceae
Description: bacterial SSU rRNA
Rfam family: Bacterial small subunit ribosomal RNA
Source: RNAcentral
GGACGAACGCUGGCGGCGUGCUUAACACAUGCAAGUCGAACGCUGAAGCCCAGCUUGCUGGGUGGAUGAGUGGCGAACGGGUGAGUAACACGUGAGUAACCUGCCCCCCUCUUUGGGAUAACGCCCGGAAACGGGUGCUAAUACUGGAUAUUCACUGAUCUUCGCAUGGGGGUUGGUGGAAAGGUUUUUUCUGGUGGGGGAUGGGCUCGCGGCCUAUCAGCUUGUUGGUGGGGUGAUGGCCUACCAAGGCUUUGACGGGUAGCCGGCCUGAGAGGGUGACCGGUCACAUUGGGACUGAGAUACGGCCCAGACUCCUACGGGAGGCAGCAGUGGGGAAUAUUGCACAAUGGGCGAAAGCCUGAUGCAGCGACGCCGCGUGAGGGAUGACGGCCUUCGGGUUGUAAACCUCUUUCGCUCAUGGUCAAGCCGCAGCUUUGGGUUGUGGUGAGGGUAGUGGGUAAAGAAGCGCCGGCUAACUACGU